AGAACGAACGCUGGCGGCGUGCUUAACACAUGCAAGUCGAGUGCGCGUUCUUGUAGCAAUACAGGAAUGGCGCACGGCGCACGGGUGCGUAACACGUGGGUAAUCUGCCCUCCGAUGGGGAUAACCCCGCGAAAGCGGGGCUAAUUCCGCAUAAUAUUCCUUGGACUCCGGUUCGAGGAUUCAAAGGCGUAAGUCGUCGGAGGUGGAGCCCGCGCCCGAUUAGCUAGUUGGUGAGGUAACGGCUCACCAAGGCAAUGAUCGGU
Molecule: ribosomal RNA, 263 nt
Filed under: uncultured bacterium
Lineage: Bacteria
Description: partial small subunit ribosomal RNA
Rfam family: Bacterial small subunit ribosomal RNA
Source: RNAcentral